Molecule: ribosomal RNA, 253 nt
Filed under: uncultured bacterium
Lineage: Bacteria
Description: partial 16S ribosomal RNA
Rfam family: Bacterial small subunit ribosomal RNA
Source: RNAcentral
CACGUAGGGUGCAAGCGUUGUCCGGAAUUAUUGGGCGUAAAGAGCUCGUAGGCGGUUUGUCGCGUCUGCUGUGAAAACUCGGGGCUUAACCCCGGGCCUGCAGUGGGUACGGGCAGACUAGAGUGCGGUAGGGGAGACUGGAAUUCCUGGUGUAGCGGUGAAAUGCGCAGAUAUCAGGAGGAACACCGGUGGCGAAGGCGGGUCUCUGGGCCGUAACUGACGCUGAGGAGCGAAAGCGUGGGGAGCGAACAGG